GUCUGGAUAGCUUAGUGAUCAGAGCAGUUGCCCGGAAAGCGAAAGACUCGGGUUCGAUUCCCAAUCCAGCUA
Molecule: transfer RNA, 72 nt
Filed under: Camponotus floridanus (Florida carpenter ant)
Lineage: Eukaryota; Metazoa; Arthropoda; Insecta; Hymenoptera; Formicidae
Rfam family: tRNA
About the family: Transfer RNA (tRNA) molecules are approximately 80 nucleotides in length. Their secondary structure includes four short double-helical elements and three loops (D, anti-codon, and T loops).
Source: Rfam by way of RNAcentral